Molecule: ribosomal RNA, 1372 nt
Filed under: uncultured bacterium
Lineage: Bacteria
Description: bacterial SSU rRNA
Rfam family: Bacterial small subunit ribosomal RNA
Source: RNAcentral
GAUGAACGCUGGCGGCGUGCCUAAUACAUGCAAGUCGAGCGAACGGACGAGAAGCUUGCUUCUCUGAUGUUAGCGGCGGACGGGUGAGUAACACGUGGAUAACCUACCUAUAAGACUGGGAUAACUUCGGGAAACCGGAGCUAAUACCGGAUAAUAUUUUGAACCGCAUGGUUCAAAAGUGAAAGACGGUCUUGCUGUCACUUAUAGAUGGAUCCGCGCUGCAUUAGCUAGUUGGUAAGGUAACGGCUUACCAAGGCAACGAUGCAUAGCCGACCUGAGAGGGUGAUCGGCCACACUGGAACUGAGACACGGUCCAGACUCCUACGGGAGGCAGCAGUAGGGAAUCUUCCGCAAUGGGCGAAAGCCUGACGGAGCAACGCCGCGUGAGUGAUGAAGGUCUUCGGAUCGUAAAACUCUGUUAUUAGGGAAGAACAUAUGUGUAAGUAACUGUGCACAUCUUGACGGUACCUAAUCAGAAAGCCACGGCUAACUACGUGCCAGCAGCCGCGGUAAUACGUAGGUGGCAAGCGUUAUCCGGAAUUAUUUGGCGUAAAGCGCGCGUAGGCGGUUUUUUAAGUCUGAUGUGAAAGCCCACGGCUCAACCGUGGAGGGUCAUUGGAAACUGGAAAACUUGAGUGCAGAAGAGGAAAGUGGAAUUCCAUGUGUAGCGGUGAAAUGCGCAGAGAUAUGGAGGAACACCAGUGGCGAAGGCGACUUUCUGGUCUGUAACUGACGCUGAUGUGCGAAAGCGUGGGGAUCAAACAGGAUUAGAUACCCUGGUAGUCCACGCCGUAAACGAUGAGUGCUAAGUGUUAGGGGGUUUCCGCCCCUUAGUGCUGCAGCUAACGCAUUAAGCACUCCGCCUGGGGAGUACGACCGCAAGGUUGAAACUCAAAGGAAUUGACGGGGACCCGCACAAGCGGUGGAGCAUGUGGUUUAAUUCGAAGCAACGCGAAGAACCUUACCAAAUCUUGACAUCCUUUGACAACUCUAGAGAUAGAGCUUUCCCCUUCGGGGGACAAAGUGACAGGUGGUGCAUGGUUGUCGUCAGCUCGUGUCGUGAGAUGUUGGGUUAAGUCCCGCAACGAGCGCAACCCUUAAGCUUAGUUGCCAUCAUUAAGUUGGGCACUCUAAGUUGACUGCCGGUGACAAACCGGAGGAAGGUGGGGAUGACGUCAAAUCAUCAUGCCCCUUAUGAUUUGGGCUACACACGUGCUACAAUGGACAAUACAAAGGGCAGCGAAACCGCGAGGUCAAGCAAAUCCCAUAAAGUUGUUCUCAGUUCGGAUUGUAGUCUGCAACUCGACUACAUGAAGCUGGAAUCGCUAGUAAUCGUAGAUCAGCAUGCUACGGUGAAUACGUUCCCGGGUCU